RNAcentral lists this long non-coding RNA (890 nucleotides) under Nicotiana benthamiana. RNAcentral's name for it is "long non-coding RNA (NBEN_LNC030391)". The record is from RNAcentral. Lineage: Eukaryota; Viridiplantae; Streptophyta; Magnoliopsida; Solanales; Solanaceae.
UUUGCCAUUCAAUGGAUUCAAAUGAAUGUCAAUACUAACACACACUAAUCUUCAAUAGAAACGAAGCAAAAUCUGUGACCCGGAACAGAAAAUCCAAAUAUAAAGUUGAAUAGUUGGAGUCCAUGGUUCAUUUGUCAUAAGAAACAUCUACAAAAACUUACUUGUACACCUUCUAAUCAUGUUGUUUAAUAUUGAAAUUGAGCAGUUAGUUACGAACAUAAACCCAACUUUAUAACGUGCAAAGAACAACUUAGUCAACACCUAUCAAUACAGACCUACUACACGACAUGAAACAAUAAAAGAAAAGAACUCAACUUCUUGUACUCCACCAAAUUCGUUGAAUUGCAUAGUCGGCACUUAGCCGUUGUUCAUUGAGCUAAAAGGAUACCUGGAAAGCAAAAUAAGAUAGAAGUGAGAAGAUUAGCAGCAAGCAGUCGCAAACAGCCCAGAUUUGUGGUCAAUCAAACAAUGAUCAGCUCCAUAAAACCAAUAGAAUAGUAGACAUAUCCCAAAAAUCGACUUUAAACCAAACUUAAACCAUUCGCCUCACCAAAUGCUCAAUUUCAGAAGUUGUCCAGGAACUCUAAACGGACAGAAUGAUUUAGAGAACUAGAAUAGGAAACCUAAACCCAUUCAAACAUCUUGCAACAUUUUUAGGUUUUGAGAAGGAAAUCAUUGAUUCUAAACUUCAGUAUUUCUUUCUAUAUUUUCAAAAACAAAAGCUCCUAAUUGUCUCUCAGAUUUUCAGGACCCUCCAAAUCUCUAGGCUCUCAAAUUUUCCAAACCCCCUUUUUUGUGUUUAUAUAUUUUUCCAAUUCCUCCAGUCUUAGAGUUUGCCUUGAAAGGAAAGUUUGUAAUGUCUUUAUAGGCAAAAAAAGUAGGGUAGCCUU